GAUGAACGCUGGCGGCGUGCCUAAUACAUGCAAGUCGAGCGACCAGACGAGGAGCUUGCUCCUCUGACGUUAGCGGCGGACGGGUGAGUAACACGUGGAUAACCUACCUAUAAGACUGGGAUAACUUCGGGAAACCGGAGCUAAUACCGGAUAAUAUAUUUAACCGCAUGGUUCAAUAGUGAAAGACGGUUUUGCUGUCACUUAUAGAUGGAUCCGCGCCGCAUUAGCUAGUUGGUAAGGUAACGGCUUACCAAGGCGACGAUGCGUAGCCGACCUGAGAGGGUGAUCGGCCACACUGGAACUGAGACACGGUCCAGACUCCUACGGGAGGCAGCAGUAGGGAAUCUUCCGCAAUGGGCGAAAGCUUGACGGAGCAACGCCGCGUGAGUGAUGAAGGUCUUCGGAUCGUAAAACUCUGUUAUUAGGGAAGAACAAAUGUGUAAGUAAAUAUGCACGUCUUGACGGUACCUAAUCAGAAAGCCACGGCUAACUACGUG
Molecule: ribosomal RNA, 497 nt
Filed under: uncultured bacterium
Lineage: Bacteria
Description: partial 16S ribosomal RNA
Rfam family: Bacterial small subunit ribosomal RNA
Source: RNAcentral